GGUGUUUCUCCUCAUUUGCCUUGUUACAUUCCACACACCUAAGGCGGUACCUGGCUCCUGUUGACGUGAGGCCUUGGACUUCCUAUUACUGGAGUUGUUGGAGCAGAAUUCCCAAGGCUCCCCAGACCAGCUGAAUUUGAAUCUUCCCAGAAGUACAUUUCUUAUGUUCUUUGAGCUACUGCUGUGUGCUGAUUAGUCUCCCCUCCCCUCUCUGCAAACUAGACACAAGCUGUAAUUAUUUGGGAAGAUGAAACCUUUAUUGAGAUAAUGCUUAAGGUUGGCCUAUAGGCAAAUCUGUGUGGGAGGAGUUUUCUUGAUUAAGGAUUAGUGUGAGAAGGCCCAGCCUCAGGCUGCUGUUGAAGGUGACAGUCCUGGGCUGAGAGCCCUGGGUUCUAUAAGAAAGCAGGCUGGGAAAGCUAUGGAGAACAAGGAGCAUACCUCUGUGAUCUAGGCCCCAGAUUCUGUCUUUAGGUUCUUGUCUUGAAUUUUUGCCCUGAUUUCCCUCAGUGAUGGACUACAAUCUUUAAGCUAAAUAAAUUCUCUCCUCACCAAAUAGCUUUUGGUCAUGUUGUUUAUUACAACAGUAUAAAGAAAACUAAAACAGGGCAUGACCAGGAGAGGUGGACCUUGGAUCAAGUAGCUAGAAGCUUCCUGAAUUGCCUUUUCAUAGGAAAAAUGGCCUGAUGCUUCCCAUGAAGGUUGAGGUCCUAGAUUAUGCUCCACAGGGACACGUGUACAAUUGGUGCCACUUGGAGAGAACUCUAGCUCAGCAGGGCAGUGUCUGUCCUGGAGGGACCUGGACAUAGAGCUACAGACUCGUUGGUUAUGACUGAGCCCAUGAUGCACCUUGGGAACGCCCUUCAGCAGGUUGCGAGUUUGAAGAAACCCGUAGAUAAAGAAUGGAUUGAAAUGGC
RNAcentral lists this long non-coding RNA (914 nucleotides) under Rattus norvegicus (Norway rat). RNAcentral describes it as "long non-coding RNA NONRATT029657". Lineage: Eukaryota; Metazoa; Chordata; Mammalia; Rodentia; Muridae. The record is from RNAcentral.